RNAcentral lists this ribosomal RNA (486 nucleotides) under uncultured bacterium. RNAcentral's name for it is "partial 16S ribosomal RNA". It matches the Rfam family "Bacterial small subunit ribosomal RNA", at positions 30 to 507 of the family's 1533-position model. The record is from RNAcentral.
AUUGAACGCUGGCGGCAUGCCUUACACAUGCAAGCCGAACGGCAGCACGGGUGCUUGCACCUGGUGGCGAGUGGCGAACGGGUGAGUAAUACAUCGGAACAUGUCCUUUAGUGGGGGAUAGCCCGGCGAAAGCCGGAUUAAUACCGCAUACGAUCUACGGAUGAAAGCGGGGGACCUUCGGGCCUCGCGCUAUAGGGUUGGCCGAUGGCUGAUUAGCUAGUUGGUGGGGUAAAGGCCUACCAAGGCGACGAUCAGUAGCUGGUCUGAGAGGACGACCAGCCACACUGGGACUGAGACACGGCCCAGACUCCUACGGGAGGCAGCAGUGGGGAAUUUUGGACAAUGGGCGAAAGCCUGAUCCAGCAAUGCCGCGUGUGUGAAGAAGGCCUUCGGGUUGUAAAGCACUUUUGUCCGGAAAGAAAUCCUUGGCCCUAAUACGGUCGGGGGAUGACGGUACCGGAAGAAUAAGCACCGGCUAACUACGUG